This 60-nucleotide non-coding RNA is filed under the name Phaeomonas parva. The record is from RNAcentral. Lineage: Eukaryota; Pinguiophyceae; Pinguiochrysidales; Pinguiochrysidaceae.
UUUUUUUUUUCUUUUUCUUUUUUUUUUUUUUUUUUCCCCCCGGGGUUUGGGGGGUUUUUU